Molecule: ribosomal RNA, 257 nt
Filed under: uncultured bacterium
Lineage: Bacteria
Description: partial 16S ribosomal RNA
Rfam family: Bacterial small subunit ribosomal RNA
Source: RNAcentral
UACAGAGACCUCAAGCGUUAUCCGGAAUCAUUGGGCGUAAAGCGUACCGAUAGGUGGUCAUACAAGUCAGAAGUGAAAUCUCCGAGCUCAACUCGGAAUCUGUCUUUUGAAACUGUACGACUAGAGGGGCAAAGAGGAAGCUGGAACAAACGGUGUAGUAGUGAAAUGCGUUGAUAUCGUUUGGAACACCAAUAGCGAAGGCGGGCUUCUGGGUGCCACCUGACACUGCUAGGACGAAAGCGUGGGGAGCGAAUGGG